Molecule: long non-coding RNA, 544 nt
Organism: Eriocheir sinensis (Chinese mitten crab)
Lineage: Eukaryota; Metazoa; Arthropoda; Malacostraca; Decapoda; Varunidae
Exons: 3
Source: RefSeq, a predicted model, not a curated record
GUCACAGGAAGGAUCGAGGCUCAUGAGAGUUGAAGUCAUAGGAAGGAGGUUCAUGUUUAAGUCACAGGAAGGAUCGAGGCUCAUGAGAGUUGAAGUCAUAGGAAGGAGGUUCAUGUUUAAGUCACAGGAAGGAUCGAGGCUCAUGAGAGUUGAAGUCAUAGGAAGGAGGUUCAUGUUUAAGUCACAGGAAGGAUCGAGGCUCAUGAGAGUUGAAGUCAUAGGAAGGAGGUUCAUGUUUAAGUCACAGGAAGGAUCGAGGCUCAUGAGAGUUGAAGUCAUAGGAAGGAGGUUCAUGUUUAAGUCACAGGAAGGAUCGAGGCUCAUGAGAGUUGAAGUCAUAGGAAGGAGGAAAUACAAAGGAAAGAAGCUGUUUUUUAGAGAGUAGGCCAUUGGUAACGAUAAACACAAAGAAAAUGACUGUGAAAGUGUCCCAAAGUCACCAUUAAGAUCGAGAUACAAACAAUACAACAUACUAGACUGAUUGAUUGAUAGUUUAUUGUUGAAAGUAACUCAUUAUCUAGUUCUUAAAACCAUCAGAAUAACC